This 1429-nucleotide long non-coding RNA is filed under the name Panax ginseng (ginseng). Its description in RNAcentral is "long non-coding RNA (PGIN_LNC005839)". Lineage: Eukaryota; Viridiplantae; Streptophyta; Magnoliopsida; Apiales; Araliaceae. The record is from RNAcentral.
GAUUCAUUCAUUUGAGAUAAAGCAUCAAUAGCAAGGCGAUAUACAACUACACAAAUAGAAUAAUUGAUAGCCCAAAAAGAACUCCCAGCAAUUGCCCAUUAGGUUUGCUGCUGCUGCCGAGGCAGCAGCCUUCCACACUGUUAACUAAAAUUCAAUCAUUAACUUUAAUUAUAACUUAUGUGUUAACUUGUCUAUACAUAUGCUUACUAUUUUGGUUUUCUAUUCAAAGCGGCCUCACCAAAUAGUCCCAACACAAUAAAAGUAGCUCAAUAUUCUAGGCACAUAAGGUGACUGCAGUAGCACAGUAUACCCAGCAGCGCGCUUGUGAACCAAUACAACUGUUGCUGCCAGCAGUUGCUCAGACCCAAACAACCCAUUUUUCUAUUUUAUGUCAUACGAACCCAUGAUCCAAUCCAAGUCAGUUGUUGAUAUGUUAUAGCUGGUAUAGAAAAUUAUUUUACAAAAAUUAUAAACAAUCCAAACUGAAAUCUUAGACAUAUGUAAUAGGGAAAUAAAAUUGCCUAGCUGCUCAAAAUAGAGAUUCCAAAUGACUUGACAUACUAAUUCCAACUUUUCAUUUUUAACUAGAAAUUAAGUUUUAUUCUAACUUUACACACUCAAUCCUUCUAGUUAACAUCACAUAUGUUUAAUAAAUCAAGCCCAAGCUUUACUUUAGUGUAGUAUUUAGUUUUCAGUCAAAACUGUUCUUUUAGGACUUUUAUCAAACAGUUGGUAGGCACAGUUUUGAGCUAUCAGUUUCACAAUCAUUGGUUUAUAUCAUGAACCCAUUUUAUCAUCCUUAUUACUCCUCAGCCCAACAUAUCUCCUUGUGCCUAAAUUCAAUCCAUAACAGUCAAAUACACAAUUAAAUAUAUGUAUAUUCAAGUAAUUGACAACUAUUUAGUUUAUAAAUCAGCUAAUUUACUAAUUUUCUUACCUUCAACUUUAUUAAUAAUACAAAUCACAACCAUAACAAUAGUAAUACUAACAUAAUAUAGUAGCCCCUUCAUUUUCUUUUUAGGCCAUUCGGCCAUUGCAGAUCACUAGUAGCAAGAAAAUGGAACGACAAAGGAUUAGAAAGAGCUUACCCUAAUAGUUCAAAGAUUACAAUUGGAUGUGCUGCUCAAUCUCUUCUCCUUCUCAGUCGGACUCCCUUUUAUUCUCUCUAUACUCUACUUACUUCUAUUUCUUGCUGGACUGAACUGUUCUACUUCUUAGAGAGUCGAUUAUAUGUUGUUUUCUCCCCCCUUUCAGUCAGUCCUAUUGCCAUUAGUUGGCCUCUACACAUCUACCCUACCAAGCUUCAAACAAUUAUUCCUAGUCUAGUCUACUUGGCCCCUACUGUCAAACCACAGCUACUCUAUCACUUCUUAUCCUUUGUAACUCUAUCCCUUCUUAUAACAAACUGCUAACUGAUGGCUAAACUAAC